This 460-nucleotide ribosomal RNA is filed under the name uncultured bacterium. RNAcentral describes it as "partial 16S ribosomal RNA". It matches the Rfam family "Bacterial small subunit ribosomal RNA", at positions 338 to 795 of the family's 1533-position model. The record is from RNAcentral.
CCUACGGGUGUCAGCAGUGAGGCAUAUUGGUCAAUGGGCGCGAGCCUGAACCAGCCAAGUAGCGUGAAGGAUGACUGCCCUACGGGUUGUAAACUUCUUUUAUAAAGGAAUCAAGUGAGUCACGUGUGCCUUUUUGUAUGUCCUUUAUGAAUAAGGAUCUGCUAACUCCGUGCCAGCAGCCGCUGUAAUACGGAGGAUCCGAGCUUUAUCCGGAUUUAUUGGGUUUAAAGGGAGCGUAGAUGGGUUGUUAAGUCAGUUGUGAAAGUGUGCGGCUCAACCGUAAAAUUGCAAUUGAUACUGGCAGCCUUGAGUAUAGUGGAGGUAGGCGGAAUUCGUGGUGUAGCGGUGAAAUGCUUAGAUAUCACGAAGAACUCCGAUUGCGAAGGCAGCCUACUAAACUGCCACUGACAUUGAUGCUCGAAAGUGUGGGUAUCAAACAGGAUUAGAUACCCGGGUAGUC